This 516-nucleotide ribosomal RNA is filed under the name uncultured microorganism. Its description in RNAcentral is "bacterial SSU rRNA". It matches the Rfam family "Bacterial small subunit ribosomal RNA", at positions 9 to 507 of the family's 1533-position model. The record is from RNAcentral.
GAGUUUGAUCGUGGCUCAGGAUGAACGCUGGCGGCGUGCCUAAUACAUGCAAGUCGAGCGAACAGACGAGGAGCUUGCUCCUCUGACGUUUGCGGCGGACGGGUGAGUAACACGUGGAUAACCUACCUAUAAGACUGGGAUAACUUCGGGAAACCGGAGCUAAUACCGGAUAAUAUAUUGAACCGCAUGGUUCAAUAGUGAAAGACGGUUUUGCUGUCACUUAUAGAUGGAUCCGCGCCGCAUUAGCUAGUUGGUAAGGUAACGGCUUACCAAGGCAACGAUGCGUAGCCGACCUGAGAGGGUGAUCGGCCACACUGGAACUGAGACACGGUCCAGACUCCUACGGGAGGCAGCAGUAGGGAAUCUUCCGCAAUGGGCGAAAGCCUGACGGAGCAACGCCGCGUGAGUGAUGAAGGUCUUCGGAUCGUAAAACUCUGUUAUUAGGGAAGAACAAAUGUGUAAGUAACUAUGCACGUCUUGACGGUACCUAAUCAGAAAGCCACGGCUAACUACGUG